This 83-nucleotide microRNA precursor is filed under the name Colobus angolensis palliatus. RNAcentral describes it as "miRNA (ENSCANG00000014774.1)". Lineage: Eukaryota; Metazoa; Chordata; Mammalia; Primates; Cercopithecidae. The record is from RNAcentral.
AGUGAUCAGAAGACAAGAGUGUGAGCCUUCUGUUAUACCCGGGAAGGGCCACCAGAGGGCUCCUUGGUCUAGGGGUAACGCCA